GGUACUGUAUCUCAGUGCAAGAGGUGCCAGUUCCUGGUUCGAAUCCAGGCUGUAUCA
RNAcentral lists this transfer RNA (57 nucleotides) under Salmo salar (Atlantic salmon). The record is from Rfam by way of RNAcentral. Lineage: Eukaryota; Metazoa; Chordata; Actinopteri; Salmoniformes; Salmonidae.